UGUGUGGUGAUGAGAACACGGAUCUAGCGCCAGGCAUGGCGUCCGAAAGGCAUGAGGAAACUUUUCCAUGCUGCCUUCCUUCUGACAGCACA
Molecule: small nucleolar RNA, 92 nt
Organism: Ictalurus punctatus (channel catfish)
Lineage: Eukaryota; Metazoa; Chordata; Actinopteri; Siluriformes; Ictaluridae
Product: Small nucleolar RNA U83B
Source: Ensembl